CGCGAAGUAGAGCAGCGGUAGCUCGUCGGGCUCAUAACCCGAAGGUCAGAAGUUCGAUCCUUCUCUUCGCAACAA
Molecule: transfer RNA, 75 nt
Filed under: Chitinophagaceae bacterium
Lineage: Bacteria; Pseudomonadati; Bacteroidota; Chitinophagia; Chitinophagales; Chitinophagaceae
Description: tRNA-Met
Rfam family: tRNA
About the family: Transfer RNA (tRNA) molecules are approximately 80 nucleotides in length. Their secondary structure includes four short double-helical elements and three loops (D, anti-codon, and T loops).
Source: RNAcentral